AACAUCUUCACCAUACAAGAUACAGAGGAGCCAAACAACCACUGCAAACAUUCCUCAGACAGGCUACUUACCAAGGAACUCCAUGGAACAGAGAGAGCAGGUUUAGAUAGAGUCAGAGUCUCAUGACUGCUCCACAUGCUCAAUCUGAACCCUGCACAUUCAUCCCCAGACUGGAUCCUAUAUUGGAAGGAUUCCAACAUUCCAUACAAGUAUCCAACGUUCUGAGGAAUCCCACAACAUUCUGAGUUCCUUCUGCUGUUAAUUCAUCCAUGACAUCUAUAAAAAGGGGGCUGGACUCGUUGUUUUUGCUGGGAGGAGAGGUUCGGGUCCAGAAAACGACAACACAGCCUGCCAGCGAAUGACACACCGGCCGUGACGUCACGCAGAACAGCAACUGCCCCCCGAACCUUCCCCAUAAAUAGUGUCAUUUAGAUUUUGCUACAUUCUCCAAAAUUGUUAUACUACUGAUGUUAUGUUUCAUAGCAUUGAAAUACAACUUUAUUUCUGUGUAUCAAAUAAUUUUCUGAAGGAUAUGCCCGUUCUCUGUGCGUUUCUUUUCAUAUAAUUUGCACUACUGCUAGUCAUUUUGCACUACUGCCAGUCAUGUAGCCAUCCAGUCUCUAAUGAAUACAUUUCAAUAAACAUUGGCUGAAUGAGACUGUUACCCAUUCAAA
Long non-coding RNA from Salmo salar (Atlantic salmon), 674 nucleotides. RefSeq lists it as uncharacterized. The record is from RefSeq and is a predicted model, not a curated record. Lineage: Eukaryota; Metazoa; Chordata; Actinopteri; Salmoniformes; Salmonidae.